GACGAACGCUGGCGGCGUGCUUAACACAUGCAAGUCGAACGGAAAGGCCCUGCUUUUGUGGGGUGCUCGAGUGGCGAACGGGUGAGUAACACGUGAGUAACCUGCCCUUGACUUUGGGAUAACUUCAGGAAACUGGGGCUAAUACCGGAUAGGAGCUCCUGCUGCAUGGUGGGGGUUGGAAAGUUUCGGCGGUUGGGGAUGGACUCGCGGCGUAUCAGCUUGUUGGUGGGGUAGUGGCUUACCAAGGCUUUGACGGGUAGCCGGCCUGAGAGGGUGACCGGCCACAUUGGGACUGAGAGACGGCCCAGACUCCUACGGGAGGCAGCAGUGGGGAAUAUUGCACAAUGGGCGGAAGCCUGAGGCAGCAACGCCGCGUGCGGGAUGACGGCCUUCGGGGUGUAAACCGCUUUCGCCUGUGACGAAGCGGGAGUGACGGUAAUGGGUAAAGAAGCACCGGCUAACUACGUG
This 468-nucleotide ribosomal RNA is filed under the name uncultured bacterium. RNAcentral's name for it is "partial 16S ribosomal RNA". It matches the Rfam family "Bacterial small subunit ribosomal RNA", at positions 28 to 507 of the family's 1533-position model. The record is from RNAcentral.